UGGUUAAGUGGAUGUUUUUUAUUAUUUCACAGAAGCAAAAUGAAGACAUCACGUUCUAAGUGCUUUUUCAACUGAACUUCGAACUAAAGAGUCUCAAUUUCUGCAGAUCUGUGGCCCAAGCCAUUUACUAUGGCACGUAUUACAGUUGCUCCUGUCAUUCUGAUGGUAACUUUUUUCCAGCAUAAGAUACUAUUUUCCACUAGCCUGGAAAGUGGACAACCAGAUGUAGUGGAUGGUCUUGGAGCACAUAAUGUUCUGUGGAUUACCAAGCAUGGGUCAAGAGUUAUCUUAUCCUGGAACAAUAACCUGACAAAAGAAGAAACUAAGAAGUAUACUGUGAAGUAUAUUUUGAGUUAUAAAUUCUUCAAUACAACUCAUGAAAAGAAAUAUAUAUUCAGAAUUUUUCAUGCAUCAUAUAUAAUAUAUCUUUCUUCAAUUGCACCUGGCUUAUUAAAGCAGAAGCUCCUGAAGAUAUUCAGAUAUUUUUUUCAUACAGACACGUAGGAAAAGAUUUUGAAUGCCAGCAAUAUAUAAAAAAUGCAAGGA
Molecule: long non-coding RNA, 546 nt
Filed under: Calidris pugnax (ruff)
Lineage: Eukaryota; Metazoa; Chordata; Aves; Charadriiformes; Scolopacidae
Description: lncRNA (ENSCPUG00000006995.1)
Source: RNAcentral